RNA transcript from Felis catus (domestic cat), 8102 nucleotides. It is a transcript of the gene named transmembrane protein 218, with no coding region annotated. The record is from RefSeq and is a predicted model, not a curated record. The transcript is spliced from 5 exons. Lineage: Eukaryota; Metazoa; Chordata; Mammalia; Carnivora; Felidae.
UCUGGAAUCGCCUGGAUGAAAACCCACUUGUGAUUCGUCGUAAGUAGAUCAAAGCCCCUGUGGGCUGGAACUGGCCGGACAGUGAGGUGUGAGUAGGGGACCUGGGAGAAGGAGAGCCAGAUGGCUGGCACAGUGCUCGGAGUGGGGGCUGGCGUGUUCAUCUUAGCCCUGCUCUGGGUGUUAGUGCUGCUGCUGUGUGUGCUGCUGUCCAGAGCGUCUGGUGUAGCGAGGUUCUCUGUCAUUUUUGUAUUCCUCGGUGCUCUGAUCAUCACAUCAGUUCUGCUGGUCUUCCCUCGAGCCAGUGAAGUCCCAGCCCCAGAGGUCGAAAUGAAGAUUGUGGAUUCCUUUUUCAUUGGCCGCUAUGUCCUGCUGGCUUUCCUCACUGCUGUCUUCCUUGGAGGCCUCUUUUUGGUUCUCAUUCAUCAUAUCCUGGAGCCAAUCUAUGCCAAACCACUGCGGUCCUACUGAGCACUAUUCAGGAAAGCCAAGACCCUGUUCUGUCCUUCGCUUUUGAUGUCAUUAAUGAGCAGAAAGGGAGCCCUCGCACCUCUUCAGCAAGCCAGGAUAAUAGCGAAAACCUUACAACGUUUGUACCACAUCUGACAGUUUUACAAAGCAGUAUCACAUAUCCCGUCUCAUCGCAGCCUCCUAUCGAUCUUGUCAGGUAUGUAGGGAUAAGCAUCUCCAUGUUAUACACAUAAGGAUGUGGAGGCUCAGAGGAUAUGCCCAAGGUCUUAUAAAUGAAAGUGAGCAGAGAAGUCAGGAUUGCCCAGGGAUUUCUGGUUCUAGGCCCAGUGCUCCCUCUACCCUAGUACGUUCCUCUGCUCCCCCACACACUGGCCUUCUGCAGACAAGGCCCAGCCUAGGAUGGCAGCAGUACAGAGCAAAGCAGACUCUGCUGGGACAAGCUGAAGGCCUUAGGCACAUUCCAUGAGUUCUGAGCCUCUCAUCUAGAGAUCAGAGAACCAACCUCACGGUUGCUGAGAGAUAAGUGGGUAUGUCUGAAGUCAGACUCAGUUCCAGACACAGAGCAGAUGCUUACCAAGUAUUCAUCCCCCUUUCCUGCUUCCUUCUUCCUCUCCCAGCCUCCCCUCAGGCCUGGCCUGGGGAAGGCAGAAGGGAGGAGCACCGAUCCUCUGCCCCCUCCUCCAGGGCAGGCAGAUAGAUACUCUGCUAAUGCCUCCUGCUCUCAGUUCCUCUCCCCCUGAACCUGGAAGAUGCCAUCCGUAAGUGGGAGUGCUUCCCCAGAUACGAUGCUGGUCAUCAUGACCCCAGGGGCUUCUUCCACACAUUUACCAUCUAGGACCAGGUCCACGGCUCCGGCCAGCUCAUUAGUCAGAGCCUCCUGCUCAAAAGGAGAGCCAGAAAGGCCAGAGAGAGCGUUACCCUCAGCACCAGCACACAGCCCAACCUCUUGCUGGCUCUGCCUCAGCCACUAGCCUAUCUGUGCGGCCUCCACACCCGCCACCAGUGGGCAGUACACAGAGAACACACCAGGCCAACCACCGAGACUUGAUCGGAAUUUUCUCCCAGAGGCUUUGAUUGGUAGUUGCUUUUUUCUGUACACCCCAGGCAGAGGGGUCGGAUGAUCUCGGUUUCUGAACUUCAGGAGGUACGUACGGCUUAGAGUCCGAGUUCAGAGGGAAAACUAUUUCCCUGGAUCCUGCCUCUGUCCUCGGGGUACAUCCAAAGCCCUAAGGAGAGGAGUCUGCCAACCUCUGUGGCAGCUCAGGCUCCUUCCUUAGGAAACAGAUCCCAAGCACCAUGCUCUGCUCGGGGAGAGAGUCUUUGGAGUUGGCCCCCAAGAAAAACACAAAGGAAGUUGGAAAAAUCACAGUGGAGGAGAGAGGAUUUGCAUGCAGGCCCCAUUCUAAUGGCACAUUAGUCACCGACUUGAAGAAAAUACUCACAAAAGUCAUGGGACUUGAGGAAAAUACUAUCGCGGGUGGGUUAGGGCCAGACUAGAGCUAUGGAGACAUAUGGGGACAACAGAGGACACAUUAGCAGGGUUGGGGGUAGGGGUGGGGGGGCCACGGAGCACAUCCAGGGUCUGGCUCCACUCUGGGCUACAGGUGGGCUCAGACUGGGUGCUGAGCACCAGAGCACUGGUUUUAAUGCCCACAAGAGGUAAGGUUGGGGAUACAGCUAUAGCUGUCUGGAGGACUCACCCUCUGUCUCUGCCCAGGGAUGACUUCCAGGCUAGGAUCUCUUUGUACACCAACCGGCAGAGGAGCUGUAGGGAGUUCGAGUACCCAAGGGAAGGGAGGGAAAUAUUAGCAAUGAACACAUGGUUAGUCCCCGGUGCUAGGUGACCAGGGGGCUGGCAGGAAGGAAGGUUGUGGGCACAGUUUCACCUGGCAGGGGCUCGCUCAUGGGAGGAAAGUGGUUCUGAGUGAAAGGCAGCUGUUCUCAUGUUCCAGAGCCCCUCACGGCCAAUGAUUUGGACCUCCCGGGUUCUAGCCUGGCAGGACAGGACAUUCACUCCCACCAGUGCCCAUGUGUGUACCCCAAGAACUCGUACCAAGCAGGCCAGGAUGUCAGCAGAGAUGAGCAUGUAGAAGACAUUGUUCCAGCCUGUGGGUGAAAUAAGGCCAGCCAGAAGGGGCCCCAGAGCCGCACCUGCAAAGAACACAAUGUCAGAGAAGGGAACCCAACAAGGGGCCCUGAACCUCCCUGCCCACCUGUGGGCAGCAUUCCAAGAAAUGUGCUAAAAACAAGGCUCAGGGCUCAGCCACCAGGAACCAAAAGCUAGAGUCACAGACCUAUAGACCCAGUGCCGUCGAUGAUGGCCGUGACGGUGGAGAGUGCCUUUGCGUUGCCUUUCAGGCUCUGGUGAGUUCCCUGGGGAGAGAGAAUGGAGUGGGGAGGAGCACCAGGAGAUGGAGAGGCAGCACCAGGCAGGACCAGGGCUGGGAGUGGGGCUAACUUGGGGAAAGGCAGCAAUUGGGCUUGGAGUUGAGAGAAAAGGCCAGCGGCCAAUGGCAGAUUCUGAAGGACUUUGAAGAUCUCAUAUGUCAGGAUCUCUGUGCACUGGGAGGGGUAGGGAUGUUGAGAAAUGGAUCAGGAGCCCCCAGGCCCUGACCAAGCCCCCAGAGUCAUCCCCGGCCCCAGGGGGGCAGCACGCUUACCAGGUCAGCAGAGACUGCAGUGGUGAUGAGCGCGUAAGGGCCAUUGACCAAGGCCCCACAGAUGAUCAACAUUACUGAGGCAGUAACAGAGACAGCUGGUUACAGAUGAGGGACCGCCACCAGCCCCAGCCCCAAAGCAGGUGAGACCACCCCCUCCGGGCAUCAGGCUGAGAACCUCCACUUCCCUGUGCCUCCCACCGAUGUCCCCAAGCCAGCUUCCUGGGGUCCCCAAGGCAAGGCUUUUCCUGUGGGCUGCCAGGACUUGCAUCCACGCCCUCACCUAUGGAGUUGAUAAUCCCACUCUGACCAAUGAAGUUAUACAGGAACAUCUGGGAGGGGAGAGGGGAGAGACAGUCACGCCCAGGCUUCCCCAUGGGCUGCCUGGGUUAGAUGGAGCCCAGAAGUCUGGCACACCCCCUCCUGCCAGGGAACCUCAGAGGUCACCUUACUCCUUUUCUUUCUCGAACCCAGACCUCUUGGUCUUUAAAUGUCCCAGGGAUGGAGGGUCCAACACAUGGUAAUAUACUGUUGCCCUUUUUUUCACAAAGAUUUCUCUCUUACCUAACCUUAAUUUCCUAUACUCUCCUUGACCAAGAACUUUAGCAGCUGGCCUCCCCUUUCUCCACCAAGGCCAAGUCGUCGCUAAUCCCUUUCCAAAAUUCUCAGUCCAAAUCUCUUUCCUGUGUUCACCCUGGCUUCUCCCCCGCCCCUGGUUGUGCACAAGGAUGGACACACACGCAAAGAGACAGGCGUGUGCAUAAAUGCCCAGGUGUGCACACAUUUCAACAGCCCGCACGAGUCCACGUGAGCACAUGUGCUUCACUCUUGAGGUUAUACACACCAUGGGGGCAGCCAAGAUCAGCAUGAUGCAGCAGGUGGUGGCCCUGCCAUUGGUGUAGUCAGAGAUGAGCCCUGCCAUGAUGCCACCUAGAACACAAACCAACUCACACGUUGCUGCCCCAGGUAUGGCCACGGCCUCCCACUACAUGGCACCCCAAGCUUUGCCCCAUCCUCUACCUGAUGCUAGCUUGGGCAUGGGCAUCCAGAACCAACAGAGCUUCCCCCUCUCAAGCCCUCCCGGCACCCAUUGCUCAUGAGAAGAUCAAACUCAAGAGCCAACUUUCUUAGGGCCACCCAACUGGGCAGGAGCUGCCCAGGUCAUGUCACAUUGGCCCUGUCCUGUCCUUCUGCACCCGCACAAGAGAAAAGGAGAAUGAAGCCUGAGGCAGAACAGGGAAGGGCCUUACCUAUGAUGCCACCAACAUCGAAGAGAGUAGACAGGUCCCCAGCCUGUUUGGCAUUGAAAUGAGCUAUGCAAAACACAAAUAUGUGGUCAGACCUGGGGGCUCAGAGCAAACGCCCUGGAGUGCCACUGCCAUAAGAACCCCUAUAGAGCACCUGAUUCGGUCCACUUCCUCCUUUUUCAGAUGAAGGAGUGAAGACUCAUGGGGAAGUCAUUGGCCAGGGUCACAAGUAAAUUUGCAGCACUUUUGGAUUGGACACCCUUUCUGCCCCUCCAUCCCAUCCUGUAAUUCCUUCUCCCCCUGCAGGUUGGCCUUGACCCCUUGGAAAAGCCUUCCCCUGAAAGCACUGGGAUCUGGCCCAUAAGAACCCUGUCCCACUGGGCCACUUUUACCCUGGGGACACAACUCUCACUGAGCUGCAGCUCAACCAGCCACAUUCGUGCUCUGCUCCUGAACAACUGGCCUCCUCUGCCAGGAGCCUUCCCACCCAUUUGAGACCUUUGCUAAUAAACAGAGCCAGGAAGGAGACUCACAGGCAAAUGGGGACCUCAGGUCUUAGCCCUUGUCCUAGGAUUAGAAAAAGGAAUGUCCAGAAGCUUGAGUUGUAGCUUAAUCCUCAAGGUUGACUCAUACAAGGCCACAAAACAAAGAGUCACAGUGUCCACGGAGCUACCCUGAUGCUCUACUUUUAUCUUUGAAAGAGGCCCUAUGACAGGGCUGUUGGGCAAGAUAUGAGCUGGGAUUUGGCCUUGCAUAAUCUGGCCUUGCAGCAUCCCGUUCAGAGCAAGUACGGUGCAUGUAAAGCAGCCUUGGCCCUCCCACAGGGCUUGGAGGGAGCAGCAAAGCCCUGGAGCAGAGGGCCUCAGCCCUGCAGGGCUCUGCGGUCAGGGGCGGGGGGGAGGGGGCCCAGAGGAGGGCAGUGCAGCUGACCCAGGCACAAGCCAUCCGUCCAGGAGGCUCCCGGCAGCCCCUGGGGUGAGAAAAGCAGGCGGUGGGUAGCUCACUAGGCCCUCUCCUGGGGUUUGGGGAGGCAUUCAAAGGCAGAUCCUUCCUAGCACCAUCUAUCCACUCAUCUGGGAGCCAAGCAGGCCUGAGGUGGGUGCUCCUGUACUUAAGGCUAGAGAAGUUAGGCAGGAUUACAGAAUAAAACUUGGGUGUUCCUAAUCUCCAAGGAGGAGAGGUGGCUGGCAUUGGGGUCUCUGAGGCCGCGUACAAGGUCUAACUUCCUACUUAACCAAAUUUUUUUUUUUAAGUCUCCUUUUGCCCUACGAGAGGUUCAGCAGACAUCCUGCCCAUACUCUGGAGUCACGCACAUCCCAUGACAGGUUUCCUCUCCCUGCCAAAGAUGGCCUUGGCCUCCUCAGAGACCCCCAUCCUCACCUCUUCUUCCCCUUUACUUACCCACAUUGAAGAUGUAGAGGGGCAGCCAGUAGAGGAAGGUGUAACUGACCAGCUUGGCAAAGAGCAGACACAAAGAGAACUCGACCACACCCUGGAGAGCAUAACAGAAGGCAUGAGGGAAGAGAUACAAGAGAUCCCUGGCCCAGGGUAGCCCCAGAGGCUGACUCAGCACCCCAGGGCUGCCACCACCUAGCCACAAAGCAACCUCAAGUACACCUCCAUCCAAUCCCAGUAAAAGCGAUGUGCCUAUGCUCCAGUGCUGUGUCAAGGCAAGCCUCCCAUGUUACUCCCCCCAAGUUGGCUAUUCACCCUAAGCAUCUCAUGUAAAGAAAUUUUGGAAGCCAUAGGUCACCCCGAGCGUCCCCCCAUCUCCUGACAUCCAGCAGAGAAAUCUAGAGAGCCCCUCUCUUCCCUCCAUCCUGCAAGCUUCUCACCGGGAUCCGGAGCGCCCCGAGGAAGCUGAUGGCGGCAGGCUGAGCGCUUGGCUCCUUGGAGCAUCUGGCGGGGGUCUCCAGGCUGCUCUCCUUGUUAGUGUACGGACCACUCCCAAGGUCCUCAGGGUUGUGCUGGUUCUCUUCCAACCCAUCCUGAACAGAGAUGAGCCCUUGCUGUGAGCACAUUUGCGUACUGCCUCCCACCAGCUGGAGGUAUAAGCCACGUGAGAGGUAGGGGUUCCCAGGCUGGAAGAGGUACGCGCUCCUCUCCUGGACUGAACUACCAUCUGGCGAGGCCCGAUCAGGCUGUCGGGGAGCCAACCUGAGGGCCUGACACUGAGCCCGUGAGGUAACCCACUGAGCUCGUGGGUACACGAGCCCCUCCUCCAACUCCCUAGUCCCCUCUGGGACCUGUCUCUGAGGAUGGAUUGGCAGGGUGGGGGUCGGGCUGGGGGCACUCACACUCGUGUGGUGCUGAGGAGGCGUGCAGUCCACAUCUUCGGGGUCUGAAAAAAACAACCCGCUAAGAAGCUUCCUGGCGGGCCAGGCCCCGCUCCCUAAGGUGGCCAGUCUACUUCCCAGCACAAGAGAGCCUGCAACCCAGGCUCGAGAGACACAUUCUAAGCGUGGCUCCCCUAACAACCACCUGGGUCACUACUGCCUUGUGGACUUCCGUUCUCUUGCUACAAAGUGGCCACCCUGCCCGGCCUAGCUCUGUCUCCGAAGGCUGUCAGGGAAUGGGGAAGAGGACAGGGAAUGGGGAAGAGGACAGCGGAUGGGGAGUGUCCCGUCACCCCUACUCUCCCCUUCUCACACUUCAGAGUCAGCUGGCACUUGCCGGGCACAACUACAGGCCGUGCGUCCCAACUGUACGUCUCACUGACACCUUAACCAACCCCCAACCCUAGGAAGUAGAUGCUAUUAUUCUUAAUUCACAAAUGAGAAAACUGAGGCCCAGAGAGGUUGUCUGUCCCGGGCCACAUACAGGUCCUCCAGCUCCACGACCAGUAAUCCUCCCCCUCGAGCCAGCUGCCUUCUCUCAGACCCCGAGAGGAGAAGAGGGAGGUUCAGUUCUGGCCCUGUGGAGAGGGAGGGGUCCGCUCACAUUCGAUGAGGAAGAGGAAGGUGAUGACACCCAUAGCAGCGGUGAUGAUGCCAGGCACCACAAACGACAGGCCCCACUGCUCAUUCACCCAGAUGCCAGCGAUCAGGGAGCCCAGGAUGUUGCCCACAGACGUGUGUGAGUUCCAGAUGCCCAUGAUAAGCCCCCGCCUGGAGGGGAGGGAGCAAUGGCGGGGAAAGGAAGGGGAGGAGAGUAAAUAAAUAAAUAAAUAAAUAAAUAAAUAAAAAGUCAGAGAAGCACAGGGUUCAUCACAACUGCCCUGGCCAAGUGCAAAACGCUGGCUGCCUCCAGCCUCGAAGCCCAAAGGCAACCAGUCAGGGAGGAGGCGGAAGGCAUGCCUAGCGUCAAGCAAGUGACAACAAGGCCUGGGGUCCUGCUCCCCUCUGCCAGCAACCAGAGGCAGCACACGCGGGGGCUUCCAGAUGGAGCUCUCCCUGUCCUGAGGACAUCAAGCCCCCCACCCCCAACCCCACUAUGGCUGCUGGUCCUCCACCAGGGCCACUCUGCCUCCAGGGGACAUUGGCAAAGUCUGGAGAUUUUGCACUGGCCCAGCCCCAGGUGUGCUACUGGCAUCUAGUGGGUAGGUGCUGCUAAACCCACUACAGUGUGUCAGGUGGCCCCAUAGCAAAGAAUGAUCCAGGCCCGAAUGUCGGUAGGGCUGAGCUGGACAAUCUCUGCUCUAAAGCAACAUUUUUUUUUUUUUUUGCACAAAAGCCAGUACAAGUACAAAAUAAUAAUAAUAACAACAAUAAUAAAGUUUUAACAGUCUCCA